GGUAAGAUGGCUGAGUGAAUUAAGCGGUGGAUUGUAGCUCCAUGUACAGAGGUUAAAGUCCUCUUCUUAUCA
This 72-nucleotide transfer RNA is filed under the name Nemipterus balinensoides. Its description in RNAcentral is "tRNA-Tyr". It matches the Rfam family "tRNA". From Rfam's summary of the family: Transfer RNA (tRNA) molecules are approximately 80 nucleotides in length. Their secondary structure includes four short double-helical elements and three loops (D, anti-codon, and T loops). Lineage: Eukaryota; Metazoa; Chordata; Actinopteri; Spariformes; Nemipteridae. The record is from RNAcentral.